This 254-nucleotide ribosomal RNA is filed under the name uncultured bacterium. RNAcentral's name for it is "partial 16S ribosomal RNA". It matches the Rfam family "Bacterial small subunit ribosomal RNA", at positions 524 to 777 of the family's 1533-position model. The record is from RNAcentral.
UACGAAGGGGGCUAGCGUUGUUCGGAAUCACUGGGCGUAAAGGGCGCGUAGGCGGCUUUGUAAGUCGGGGGUGAAAGCCUGUGGCUCAACCACAGAAUUGCCUUCGAUACUGCAUGGCUUGAGACCGGAAGAGGUAAGUGGAACUGCGAGUGUAGAGGUGAAAUUCGUAGAUAUUCGCAAGAACACCAGUGGCGAAGGCGACUUCCUGGCCUGUUCUUGACGCUGAGGCGCGAAAGCUAGGGGAGCAAACGGGG